Molecule: small RNA, 62 nt
Organism: Fischerella sp.
Lineage: Bacteria; Bacillati; Cyanobacteriota; Cyanophyceae; Nostocales; Hapalosiphonaceae
Rfam family: Nitrogen stress-induced RNA 1
Source: Rfam
UGGUAGAUGCACCCUGAUAACAAACUCCCCUUGCUAGCUGUCGGUUGCUAGGGGAUUUUUUU